RNAcentral lists this ribosomal RNA (564 nucleotides) under Peterkaempfera griseoplana. RNAcentral's name for it is "bacterial SSU rRNA". It matches the Rfam family "Bacterial small subunit ribosomal RNA", at positions 93 to 671 of the family's 1533-position model. The record is from RNAcentral. Lineage: Bacteria; Bacillati; Actinomycetota; Actinomycetes; Kitasatosporales; Streptomycetaceae.
CAGUGGCGAACGGGUGAGUAACACGUGGGCAAUCUGCCCUGCACUCUGGGACAACACCGGGAAACCGGUGCUAAUACCGGAUAUGACGUGCCUUCGCAUGGGGGUGCGUGGAAAGCUCCGGCGGUGCAGGAUGAGCCCGCGGCCUAUCAGCUUGUUGGUGGGGUGAUGGCCUACCAAGGCGACGACGGGUAGCCGGCCUGAGAGGGCGACCGGCCACACUGGGACUGAGACACGGCCCAGACUCCUACGGGAGGCAGCAGUGGGGAAUAUUGCACAAUGGGCGAAAGCCUGAUGCAGCGACGCCGCGUGAGGGAUGACGGCCUUCGGGUUGUAAACCUCUUUCAGCAGGGAAGAAGCGCAAGUGACGGUACCUGCAGAAGAAGCACCGGCUAACUACGUGCCAGCAGCCGCGGUAAUACGUAGGGUGCGAGCGUUGUCCGGAAUUAUUGGGCGUAAAGAGCUCGUAGGCGGCCUGUCGCGUCGGAUGUGAAAGCCCGGGGCUUAACCCCGGGUCUGCAUUCGAUACGGGCAGGCUAGAGUUCGGUAGGGGAGAUCGGAAUUCCU